UUUCCUUACAUCCUUUUCUCAACCUCUAAAGAAAUGUAAUAAAAAUAAUGACGAGAAGUUGUAAAAGAGGAACACCAUUCUGGCAUUCGUACAAUUUUUAGUUGGCAGAAUACAUUAUUACCCCAUAGACAUGGCACAAUUUAUUUAGAGCUUGUGUGGAUCGACUUUUGGCUUAUGACUAGUAGCCAAAAAUUAAAAGUUAGAAUUGUUGUUAUUUUGGCUUAUAAAUAAGUGCUUAUAAGCACUUAUUUAGUUUACCCAAGCACUACAAAAAUCCUUAAAAGCUAUUUUAGCUUAAAAACACCUAAAAUAAGCCAAUCCAAAAUGGACACUUAGUCCACACCUAAACUUUCCGUAGUUCUCAUUACCUCCUUCUCCCUAUAGACCAGUCUCACCUGAUGGAGGUGAGACCCACGCGCUGCCAUUUGGAUUCUUUGUUGAUGUGUCAUUUUUUAAAAAUAAAAUUCUUUUUACACUCUUUGAAUUUUUGGAUCAUCUUUUUCGGGCCAAAUUUAUAAAAGAGUUAGCAACUCCAUUAUUGAGAAUUUUUUUUUGACAGAAUAUAAUGGAUUGGACUGUGCAUCCGAUUUUUCUAUUUCUGUAUUGACCAUGUACCAAGAAUGAAAUGCAUUGCAUAUAUAUAUAAACAUAAUAUACUCUAUUAGUUCAACUUUUUGGUAUUUGUUUUCUAAAAUCUAAAACCAAACCAAGAAACCAAAAUUUCUAAUCCGAAACCAUACCAAAAAACCAAACUAAAUAACAAAAAAAAUUGGUUUCGUUUGAUUUUUGAGUUAAUCCAAAUUAUGCACACCCCUAAUAAUAAACUCUUUAUGGAAUUGAUAAGAAAUAUAAGUUGGAAACAAAAGUUCAUUGCAUCAAAAGAAAAGAAGAAAUAAAAUUAGCAAGGUGGAAAUCACAACAUAUCUCUAGGGGUAGCUGGUUGACCUUGAUUAAUCAUGUUCUUGAUUCACUACCAAUCUAUAUGAUGUUAGUAUUCCCAAUUCCCAAGAGGGUAAUCAAUAAGUUAGAUAAAUGAGAAGAAUAUUCCUCUGGCAAAGAAAAACAGUGAGAGUUAAGGCUACAACUUGGUUAAAUGGGAUGCUGUGAUAGUGUGAAAGAAGCAACGGGGUUCGGGAAUAAAGAACUUAAUGAAUUAGAGCGAAACCCUUAGGAUAAAAUGGCUGUGGAAGUUCAAUAAUGAAGAGCAGAGCUACUGGAAGGAAGUCAUUAACACAAAAUAUGUCAAGGAAGACAACUGGAUGACCAAAGAGAUGACUACACCAUAUCGGGUCAUUGUUUCGAGAUGCAUUAGAUCUCUGUGGCAUGAGUUUAAUGCUAACACAAAGAUCAAAGUGGGGAUGGACACAAAACAGAAUUUUUGAAGGAUGUUUGGCAUGAAGCAGGCAUGGUCCAUGGCAUACCCUUAAGAUUCAGGAAUAACCUCCACUGUUGGCCAGUGAUCGUGCAAUUUAGAAAGAGAUGCUUACCUGUCUCAGCAGUUUCCCCACACAAAAAGAUAAUCUAGAACGUAAUGGUAUCCACCUCCUCUUCAAGUUGUCUCGAGUCCGUACAACUUCUUUGGCUCACAACCAGACAAAACAGGCAACUUUGAGUGGGAUUUCUGACUUCCAGGUUCCUCGCCAGUGACUGUGAGGCUGAUGCUUAAAACUACCCUUCUGACUGCCUUUCUGCCACAAAAAUGUCUUGACCCCCUUCCAGUCCAUUAGAUUGCUCAGUGGUGUUGAAAAAAUCUGCUACCCUCUUGGAUCUCACAGUCAUUAAUUGUCUUCUAAAGAUGAAGUUCCACCCUUGAGGAGUCCAAGGAUCUACUAUGGUCUUCUGCUGGUGAGAUACUAGAGGAUAUAUAUCAAGAUACAAGACCUAGAACUGUUGAUAGUAUAGAGAACAGUAUGCAAGAAGUCAAGCUAUAUUGUUUUAUGCUUCUACCUUUUUUUGGUGUAAUCAGUUAUACUCAAAUGAUACUAUCUCCGUAAUUGAUGUACCAGACUCAAUUUAGGAAAAGAUAGUAGGAUUUGAACUACAUGUGUAAAUAUUGACCAGUACAGUUUUAGUACUCUCUUUUGAGGAAUAUACAAAGUGUCCAGUUUUUUUUAAAAAAAGAAA
Solanum pennellii is the source of this 2124-nucleotide long non-coding RNA. RefSeq lists it as uncharacterized. Lineage: Eukaryota; Viridiplantae; Streptophyta; Magnoliopsida; Solanales; Solanaceae. The transcript is spliced from 2 exons. The record is from RefSeq and is a predicted model, not a curated record.